AGCGAACGCUGGCGGUAGGCCUAACACAUGCAAGUCGAACGACAGCACAGUAAGAGCUUGCUCUUACGGGUGGCGAGUGGCGGCCGGGUGAGGAAUACAUCGGAAUCUACUUUUUCGUGGGGGAUAACGUAGGGAAACUUACGCUAAUACCGCAUACGACCUACGGGUGAAAGCAGGGGAUCUUCGGACCUUGCGCGAUUGAAUGAGCCGAUGUCGGAUUAGCUAGUUGGCGGGGUAAGGGCCCACCAAGGCGACGAUCCGUAGCUGGUCUGAGAGGAUGAUCAGCCACACUGGAACUGAGACACGGUCCAGACUCCUACGGGAGGCAGCAGUGGGGAAUAUUGGACAAUGGGCGCAAGCCUGAUCCAGCCAUACCGCGUGGGUGAAGAAGGCCUUCGGGUUGUAAAGCCCUUUUGUUGGGAAAGAAAAGCAGCAGGUUAAUACCCCGCUGUUCUGACGGUACCCAAAGAAUAAGCACCGGCUAACUUCGUG
RNAcentral lists this ribosomal RNA (492 nucleotides) under uncultured bacterium. Its description in RNAcentral is "partial 16S ribosomal RNA". It matches the Rfam family "Bacterial small subunit ribosomal RNA", at positions 29 to 507 of the family's 1533-position model. The record is from RNAcentral.